Molecule: ribosomal RNA, 252 nt
Filed under: uncultured bacterium
Lineage: Bacteria
Description: partial 16S ribosomal RNA
Rfam family: Bacterial small subunit ribosomal RNA
Source: RNAcentral
UUUCUUUGCUGGCGACCGGCGCACGGGUGAGUAACACGUAUCUAACCUGCCUUUACUCGGGGAUAGCCUUUCGAAAGAAAGAUUAAUACCCGAUAGCAUAAUGAUUCCGCAUGGUUUCAUUAUUAAAGGAUUCCGGUAAAGGAUGGGGAUGCGUUCCAUUAGGUUGUUGGUGAGGUAACGGCUCACCAAGCCUUCGAUGGAUAGGGGUUCUGAGAGGAAGGUCCCCCACAUUGGAACUGAGACACGGUCCAA